RNAcentral lists this transfer-messenger RNA (365 nucleotides) under Betaproteobacteria bacterium. It matches the Rfam family "transfer-messenger RNA". From Rfam's summary of the family: Bacterial tmRNA, also known as 10Sa RNA or SsrA, is named for its dual tRNA and mRNA-like properties. Its role is to liberate the mRNA from a stalled ribosome. The record is from RNAcentral. Lineage: Bacteria; Pseudomonadati; Pseudomonadota; Betaproteobacteria.
GGGGGCGACUUGGUUUCGACGGGGGUAUCGAAGCAGCUCAGGGCAUGCCAAGGUCCAGUCACCUUGUUAAACCGCUGGAACAACCACAAACGCCAACGACGAGCGUUACGCUCUAGCCGCCUAACACCGGCUAGACGCUGCACUAGCUUGCUGAUGGGCUAGGCCGGGAAACCGGUGCAGCGUCAUUUACAUCAGCCUCUCCGCAUGGUCUGGUCGCUUGGCCGUGCGGAUCCGUCGAAGCGACUGGCUGAGCGCCAGCCUGCCGGCCGGCGGGCGCGAGGCGAGACCCAAACGACCAGGCUAAGCAUGUAGUCCUGACUGUGGAGGACUUCCGGACGCGGGUUCGAUUCCCGCCGCCUCCACCA